GGAAUAGCCUAAUGGCUAGGGCACCGGGUUUUGGCUCCGGUUAUGAAGGUUCGAUUCCUUCUUCC
RNAcentral lists this transfer RNA (65 nucleotides) under bovine gut metagenome. It matches the Rfam family "tRNA". Rfam says of the family: Transfer RNA (tRNA) molecules are approximately 80 nucleotides in length. Their secondary structure includes four short double-helical elements and three loops (D, anti-codon, and T loops). Further hydrogen bonds mediate the characteristic L-shaped molecular structure. tRNAs have two regions of fundamental functional importance: the anti-codon, which is responsible for specific mRNA codon recognition, and the 3' end, to which the tRNAs corresponding amino acid is attached (by aminoacyl-tRNA synthetases). tRNAs cope with the degeneracy of the genetic code in two manners: having more than one tRNA (with a specific anti-codon) for a particular amino acid; and 'wobble' base-pairing, i.e. permitting non-standard base-pairing at the 3rd anti-codon position. The record is from RNAcentral.